This is a non-coding RNA of Sarcophilus harrisii (Tasmanian devil), 71 nucleotides long. The record is from Rfam. NCBI's taxonomy places the organism in Eukaryota, Metazoa, Chordata, Mammalia, Dasyuromorphia, Dasyuridae.
UAGGAUGUGGUAUAAAGGGAGCACAAAGGGUUUUGAGUUCUUUGGUAUAGGUUCGAGUCCUAUUGUCCUAG